CACCUACGGGUGGCAGCAGUCGAGAAUCUUCCGCAAUGGACGAAAGUCUGACGGAGCGACGCCGCGUGCGGGAUGAAGGCCCUUGGGUUGUAAACCGCUUUCGGGGGGGAUGAAAUCUCUGAGGGUACUCCCUCAGAGUUGACAGAGCCCCAAAAGAAGCACGGGCUAAGUACGUGCCAGCAGCCGCGGUAACACGUACUGUGCGAACGUUAUUCGGAAUCACUGGGCUUAAAGGGUGCGUAGGCGGCAAUCCAAGUCAGAUGUGAAAUGCCUGAGCUUAACUGAGGCACUGCGUUUGAAACUGGAUUGCUUGAGUAUUUCAGGGGUGUGCGGAACUGCCAGUGGAGCGGUGAAGUGUGUUGAUAUUGGCAGGAACACCGGAGGCGAAAGCGGCACACUGGGGCAUUUCUGACGCUGAGAGACGAAAGCGUGGGUAGCAAAAAGGAUUAGAUACCCUUGUAGUCCACGCCCUAAACUAUGGACACUAGCUAUUUGAAGUGUCGACCCUUCAAGUGGCGAAGCUAACGCGUUAAGUGUCCUGCCUGGGAAGUACGGCCGCAAGGCUAAAACUCAAAAGAAUAGACGGGGCUUCACACAAGCGGUGGAG
Molecule: ribosomal RNA, 607 nt
Filed under: uncultured bacterium
Lineage: Bacteria
Description: bacterial SSU rRNA
Rfam family: Bacterial small subunit ribosomal RNA
Source: RNAcentral